RNA transcript from Quercus lobata, 3517 nucleotides. RefSeq lists it as uncharacterized. The record is from RefSeq and is a predicted model, not a curated record. The transcript has 11 exons. NCBI's taxonomy places the organism in Eukaryota, Viridiplantae, Streptophyta, Magnoliopsida, Fagales, Fagaceae.
ACACCAUCACACAACAACAAACUUUAGUUAUUUCAACCCUCUUUUAUUGAGGGUUUACUAAAAUCUGUCGAUACAAUCUAUAAAUACAAAUGCGGGAGGCUAUGUUACUAAACUUUAUUUCAAAGGUUAUUUGGUCCCUCAAAAUAAGUUAAAACAACCUUGAAAUAAUUGAAAGAAAAAAAAAGCGCCAGUUUUGUACCAAAACUUUUACCUUUUUCAGCUCACAACCCUUGAUAAAAUAUGAUAAAUUUUUCAGCCCUUGAAAGAAGCCCACAACAAAAUUUAAAAAUAUAGCCCAGAACGUACUUCAAAGCAUUAUGCCACUAUGUCAUGCCUUGUACAGCUAUCACUCUAUUGGCAGUUGACUAGAUUCUAUCAUUUCUUCUUUUGCAGCUUGCUUGGACCUGCUACAACUUCUAUCAUCAGUCAACACCAACAAAAUUGGCCACGGAGAAUUAUUUCUUUCAUUCUGGGCAGGUGAGUUAUCCCUAUUCUUGUGAUAUACAAUGUUCUUGUCUGUGUGUGUGUGUCUUACACUACAUCCAUAAAUACCUGUUUUAGGACAUGACUGUGGGCUUCUACAUAAGUAAAUGAACGCAAUUUAGUAGUGCUUAAAGCUUACUUAGGUUUAUAGUGAAAUAAUAGCAUUUUAAUAAUUCCAAAGUGGAGUUACCCUAAAACUUUGGACUCAGAGGACCUUAAUUCAUAAUUUACUAUUUUAAACAUUGUGUUUGGGAUGAUGGGUUUAUUGAAAUGCUAUCAGUUUUUCUUUUGAUGGUAAUUUGGAAUGGACACGGGUUUGGGUUUUUGUUUAGAUAACAGAAUGGUUGAGGCAGAUUUAGUUUUAUUUCUUGUUUUUUUUUUUUUUUCCCAGUGCUUUGGUUCAUAUUUUAUUCUUCUGAGUUUUCUGAGGGAAAUAUUGCCAACGAAGAGAUCCUGCCUCCUUUAAUCCAUGCUAAUAGCUGUCCAAUUCUUUGUACUCAUAAACAGAGCAUUUUGACACCACAUGUGAAAACAGACUUGUAGCAUCUAAUUAUAAAUAGGUUACAAAUUCUAAAGCCUACCAGAAUUAACUCUUCUUUUCUAGGCUUGGGGUGAGGGGAAAGAUUGGGAUAUAUUUGCGUCUACUUGUAAUGCUUCUUGUGUUAGUCAUGCUGGAUACAUCUAUUGACAUAAGGUAAACGUGUGAAUCAAUUUGCAAACCUUGAAUCAACAGAAAAUGGCUGUGCUAGAUGGUUAGGAUGAGUUAGCAUGUUUAUGCUGAGUGAGCAUCAGGGGUCUUAGCAAAUCCAACGAAACUGGAAAUUCAGCACCAACUUCAAUAAAGCAAAUAGUCAAAUGCUACUUGGUAACUGUUUAAGAUGAGGUCUUUCUAAAGGCAUUAAUGGAAAACUUCUUAGUGCUAAUCCAAACAACAUAAAAGUUUUGAAAGGAACUCUAAGGACCCAUUUUUAAUGAAACUUGAUUUAUUUUUCUUUUUUCUUUUUUUUUUGGGGGGGGGGGGUCACUAUUGAGAGUCCCUACUAGGAUUGAGGUUAGAAAGAUGGGAGAGAAUGCCUUCAUCAUAUAGCUCAUAGACCCGUUGGGCUGCUACUGGUAUCAAAAGUAAAUAUAGCAUGUGUAAUUCAAAGCACACGUCAUGCCUUGUACAGCUAUCACUCUUUUGGCAGUUGCAUAGAUUCUAUUAUUUCUUCUUUUGCAGCUUGCUUGGAACUGCUACAACUUCAUCAGUCAACACCAACAAAAUUGGCCAGGGAGAAUUAUUUCUUUCAUUCUGGGCAGGCUUUUCCACUGGAUUUAGUACUCUUUUCCAGUUGAGGACAACUUAAGUGCUCACAUAUAUUGGAUUGAUCAAAGCAAAGGAUUCUACUAAUGGCAAACGGAGGUAGCAAAGGAGGAGUUGGCACAAGUGAUGCUAAUGGAAGUAAAAAUGAUUUGGCUCAUCAAGGGAAGAAGAGAGGGCGAGGGCCUACUCGGAAUCUUAAAUUGGCCAAAGAGUUCAAGGGAGGGGAAAGAUAUGAGAUUGGUUGGUUGAAUGGAAGACCUGUAAGGCCUCAUGCUCGUGAUUUAAUAAAUGAAUGUACAAAACUUGUUAGGACACAACAAAAUGUACCUCUAAAGUUCACAGAUUGGAAAAAAGUACCGUAUAUCAACAAAAGGAAGCUCUUUGAUAAAGUAUUGGAGUAUUUCAAAGUUGAGGGUCGAGAGUAAGAGGUUUGGCGAAAAUUGGGUAGUUCUUACUCAAAUUAUCGUGACUCCCUAAAAAAAAGUAGUUUAAGACAUAUGGUGAAGCAACAGAAGAGGCACGAGCAAAUGUUCCACCUGGACUGGAGAAGGAUGAUUGGAAUUGUCUCGUGGAUUUGUGGAGCAAGCAAGAUUAUAUGGACGUGUUUGAAAAACAAGGAUUGGGACAAAAACAAUAUUAUCCACACUUCUAGUUCAAAAAGUUUCCAACAAUGUAGUGCGGAAGAGAAAGAGAAGACAGGUCAUAGUCCUUGUAGAAUUGAAUUAUUUGACAUCAGCAAUGUGCAAGCUAAUGGGCAAGCAGUAAAUGAACCAACACAAGAUGCAUUGGUGGCAUUGAGGAAUCUUACUACUCAAGUGAAUGAGGGGGCAUUGCAAAUAUCUCAAAAUCAAAUGUUUGUGGAGGUGUUUGGACAUGAGCGUCAUGGACGAGUUCGUGGCUAUGGGGUUGGAGUCACUCCUACCAAGUUAUGGGGUUCUUCCUCAUCUAGAAUGUAUGAUCUUGAGAAGCGACACCAAGAAUCUGAACAAAAACACUUAGAAUCUGAACACAAACGAAUAGAGGCUGAUGCAGAGUUGAAAGAAGAAGUAAAGCACCUCAAAAGCAUGCUCGAACAACAAGCUAUUCAAAUGGCAGAACAAAGAAGACAUUUUGAGGAACAACAAGCUAGUCAAAUGGCAGAACAAAGAGCACAUUAUGACAAUAUGAUGAUGCAAAUGUUGAGUUAUAUCACCUCGCAAUCAGCCCAAUCUAGUAGUGAUCACUAAGCUUAUGUUGCAAUAAAGGGUUGACUUGAUACUAGUUUUUGUUGCCAAAUUGAGUGCCUGAAUUAUUGCACGCUAGUGCCUUCUGUUCCAGGCAAAGACAAGGAAGUUUUGCUCCUGCAUACAAAAGUUGACCUUGUAGUAACUCUUGGUGGGGAUGGAAUGGUCCUUUGGAAACUUGAGGGCACCCAUAAUGGCUGAAAUGUUUAAUUGUACUAGCUGAUAACUUCUUGCUUGGAAGAUGAUGAUGAAGAAUAAAAUGUAUCAAAACUUUUAACUCUUGGACAGAUUUGGUCUUUGCACAAAGUGUGGUUGUUGAUAUCUUUUCUCUUAAACAAUAAUUGACAUAUCGGCAGUUUGUAUGCGGCCCCUAAUCUGUUAAUUUGUAAGUUUGAGUUUAGAGAUCAAAGAAACUGUAAUUGUAGCAAUAUACCAUUUUUGCUAGACAUCAAUAUUAUAUCAUAUCAUCUCAACAAUUGUCAAUUUUUGUGUGUGUAUAUAUAUAUAU